This 413-nucleotide ribosomal RNA is filed under the name Protoiurus asiaticus. Its description in RNAcentral is "partial large subunit ribosomal RNA". Lineage: Eukaryota; Metazoa; Arthropoda; Arachnida; Scorpiones; Iuridae. The record is from RNAcentral.
UCUUGUAAUUUAGGACUGGAAUGAACGGUUUAACCAAAGUAAAUUUGUCUUUUAAUAAUAUUUUGAAUUUUAUAUUUUAGUAACAAAGCUAAAAUUANAUUUGAGGGACGAGAAGACCCUAUCAAGUUUUACAAAUUNUANNNUAUUANUUUUCAACAUNAAUAAAUCACNUUGNUUUAGCUGGGGCAGCUUAUAGAAUAAAUUCUAUUUUUUUAUUGUNNAAUUUUAAAUUUUGUUUUAUCCUANAAUUUUAGAAUUAAAAAUAAAUUACUGUAGGGAUAACAGCAUAAUUUCUUUAAAGAGUUCUUAUCAUAAAAGAAGUUUGUGACCUCGAUGUUGGAUUAAGAGCCCUAUUCAACGCAAAAGUUAAAUUAGGAAGUCUGUUCGACUUUUAAACUCUUCCAUGAUCUGAG